Molecule: transfer RNA, 72 nt
Filed under: Candidatus Nitrosopumilus sp.
Lineage: Archaea; Thermoproteati; Nitrososphaerota; Nitrososphaeria; Nitrosopumilales; Nitrosopumilaceae
Also listed under: 3 other names
Description: tRNA-Ala
Rfam family: tRNA
About the family: Transfer RNA (tRNA) molecules are approximately 80 nucleotides in length. Their secondary structure includes four short double-helical elements and three loops (D, anti-codon, and T loops). Further hydrogen bonds mediate the characteristic L-shaped molecular structure. tRNAs have two regions of fundamental functional importance: the anti-codon, which is responsible for specific mRNA codon recognition, and the 3' end, to which the tRNAs corresponding amino acid is attached (by aminoacyl-tRNA synthetases). tRNAs cope with the degeneracy of the genetic code in two manners: having more than one tRNA (with a specific anti-codon) for a particular amino acid; and 'wobble' base-pairing, i.e. permitting non-standard base-pairing at the 3rd anti-codon position.
Source: RNAcentral
GGGCCGGUAGUUUAAUGGCAAAAUGCCUCGUUCGCAACGAGGAUGACGGGGGUUCGAUUCCCUCCCGGUCCA